This is a non-coding RNA of Albula goreensis, 72 nucleotides long. The record is from the annotation of a GenBank genome assembly. Lineage: Eukaryota; Metazoa; Chordata; Actinopteri; Albuliformes; Albulidae.
UCCCAUGUAGUCUAGCGGUCAGAAUUCCUAGUUUUCACCUAGGCAGCCUGGGUUUGACUCCCAGUAUUGAAU